GCCGAACUGAAUCUAAUUCAAUUAAACUUAUUCCAAAGCUCUUUACUCAAUCAAAUUGAGUCAAUUAGUAAUCUAAUUACUAAUUAAUUCUCCAUAAAUGGUAGAGUUUCAAUCUCAGUGGGACUCUCCCACAGAGCCCUAGUCCAAGUGGGACUCUUCACCAGAGUAACAAUCCAAUUGGACUCUUCAGCCAUCAGAUCUGAUCAAAUCUUCUAAUAUGUAUGACCACAUAGGUUCGAACCUAAGUUGAUAGCAUAAAAAUAACUUUUAUACCAAUCGAUAUAACCAUCUAACAAUGAUGACCAG
This 306-nucleotide long non-coding RNA is filed under the name Elaeis guineensis (African oil palm). RNAcentral describes it as "long non-coding RNA (EGUI_LNC075312)". The record is from RNAcentral. Lineage: Eukaryota; Viridiplantae; Streptophyta; Magnoliopsida; Arecales; Arecaceae.